Molecule: ribosomal RNA, 305 nt
Filed under: uncultured bacterium
Lineage: Bacteria
Description: bacterial SSU rRNA
Rfam family: Bacterial small subunit ribosomal RNA
Source: RNAcentral
AGUUACCUACGGGGGGCAGCAGUAGGGAAUCUUCGGCAAUGGGCGAAAGCCUGACCGAGCAACGCCGCGUGAAUGAAGAAGGCCUUCGGGGUGUAAAAUUCUGGUAUAAGGGAAGAAAGGUGAUAGGAGGAAAUGACUAUCAAUUGACGGUACCUUAUGAGAAAGCCACGGCUAACUACGUGCCAGCAGCCGCGGUAAUACGUAGGUGGCAAGCGUUAUCCGGAAUUAUUGGGCGUAAAGAGCGCGCAGGUGGUUCAUUAAGUCUGGUGUAAAAGCCCGCGGCUUACCCGGGGAGGGUCAUUGGA